AUUGAACGCUGGCGGCAUGCCUUACACAUGCAAGUCGAACGGUAACGCGGGGCAACCUGGCGACGAGUGGCGAACGGGUGAGUAAUGCAUCGGAACGUACCCAGUAGUGGGGGAUAGCUCGGCGAAAGCCGGAUUAAUACCGCAUACGACCCAUGGGUGAAAGCGGGGGAUCGCAAGACCUCGCGCUGGUGGAGCGGCCGAUGUCAGAUUAGGUUGUUGGUGAGGUAAAGCUCACCAAGCCGACGAUCUGUAGCUGGUCUGAGAGGACGACCAGCCACACUGGGACUGAGACACGGCCCAGACUCCUACGGGAGGCAGCAGUUAGGAAUUUUGCGC
This 336-nucleotide ribosomal RNA is filed under the name uncultured bacterium. Its description in RNAcentral is "bacterial SSU rRNA". It matches the Rfam family "Bacterial small subunit ribosomal RNA", at positions 30 to 369 of the family's 1533-position model. The record is from RNAcentral.